GAUGAACGCUGGCGGCGUGCCUAAUACAUGCAAGUCGAGCGAACAGACGAGGAGCUUGCUCCUCUGACGUUAGCGGCGGACGGGUGAGUAACACGUGGAUAACCUACCUAUAAGACUGGGAUAACUUCGGGAAACCGGAGCUAAUACCGGAUAAUAUAUUGAACCGCAUGGUUCAAUAGUGAAAGACGGUUUUGCUGUCACUUAUAGAUGGAUCCGCGCGCAUUAGCUAGUUGGUAAGGUAACGGCUUACCAAGGCAACGAUGCGUAGCCGACCUGAGAGGGUGAUCGGCCACACUGGAACUGAGACACGGUCCAGACUCCUACGGGAGGCAGCAGUAGGGAAUCUUCCGCAAUGGGCGAAAGCCUGACGGAGCAACGCCGCGUGAGUGAUGAAGGUCUUCGGAUCGUAAAACUCUGUUAUUAGGGAAGAACAAAUGUGUAAGUAACUAUGCACGUCUUGACGGUACCUAAUCAGAAAGCCACGGCUAACUACGUG
This 496-nucleotide ribosomal RNA is filed under the name uncultured bacterium. Its description in RNAcentral is "partial 16S ribosomal RNA". It matches the Rfam family "Bacterial small subunit ribosomal RNA", at positions 28 to 507 of the family's 1533-position model. The record is from RNAcentral.